GAUGAACGCUGGCGGCGUGCCUAACACAUGCAAGUCGAGCGAACGGACGAGAAGCUUGCUUGUCUGAUGUUAGCGGCGGAGGGGUGAGUAACACGAGGAUAACCUACCUAUAAGACUGGGAUAACUUCGGGAAAGCGGAGCUAAUACCGGAUGAUAUUUUGAACCGCAUGGUUCAAAAGUGAAAGACGGUUUUGCUGUCACUUAUAGAUGGAUCCGCGCUGCAUUAGCUAGUUGGUAAGGUAACGGCUUACCAAGGCAACGAUGCAUAGCCGACCUGAGAGGAUGAUCGGCCACACUGGAGCUGAGACACGGUCCAGACUCCUACGGGAGGCAGCAGUAGGGAAUCUUCCGCAAUGGGCGAAAGCCUGACGGAGCAACGCCGCGUGAGUGAUGAAGGUCUUCGGAUCGUAAAACUCUGUUAUUAGGGAAGAACAUAUGUGUAAGUAACUGUGCACAUCUUGACGGUACCUAAACAGGAAGCCACGGCUAACUACGUG
RNAcentral lists this ribosomal RNA (497 nucleotides) under uncultured bacterium. RNAcentral's name for it is "partial 16S ribosomal RNA". It matches the Rfam family "Bacterial small subunit ribosomal RNA", at positions 28 to 507 of the family's 1533-position model. The record is from RNAcentral.